Molecule: ribosomal RNA, 253 nt
Filed under: uncultured bacterium
Lineage: Bacteria
Description: partial 16S ribosomal RNA
Rfam family: Bacterial small subunit ribosomal RNA
Source: RNAcentral
UACGUAGGGUGUGAGCGUUGUCCGGAAUUACUGGGCGUAAAGAGCUCGUAGGUGGUUUGUCGCGUUGUCCGUGAAAACUCACAACUCAAUUGUGGGCGUGCGGGCGAUACGGGCAGACUGGAGUACUGCAGGGGAGACUGGAAUUCCUGGUGUAGCGGUGGAAUGCGCAGAUAUCAGGAGGAACACCGGUGGCGAAGGCGGGUCUCUGGGCCGAUACUGACGCUGAGGAGCGAAAGCGUGGGGAGCGAACAGG